This 2143-nucleotide long non-coding RNA is filed under the name Rattus norvegicus (Norway rat). Its description in RNAcentral is "long non-coding RNA NONRATT015613". Lineage: Eukaryota; Metazoa; Chordata; Mammalia; Rodentia; Muridae. The record is from RNAcentral.
AUAAAAUUGUACUCUAGGAGGCUUAGGUACUAUGAUAUUCUCUCAUCUUUUUGUAAAGUGGGAAAAGUGGGUGAACGUUGGGAUGUCCAGGAAAUAAGCUAGCUUGCCCAAGAAGCAGUUACCCAUUUACAGGCCCAACAUUGAUCUCCACUGUGAAGCACAUUCACCCCCAAAUCUUAGGACCCAUUGAUCCAGCAGAUGAAGGUACUCUUGGCUGCUGCACUGCUCCUCAGAGAUGCCCGCCUCCAUUUGCCCUUGCCACUUAGGACAGAACUUGCCUGGGGCACAGGGGACCCAGUGACUGCCAACUUCCUUAGGACCACUUUCCUCUCAGAUCAGAAGCCAGCUUAUCAGUUUCCCUCCACACUGUGUGCUCUGAGUGAUUGGUGUACACCGCAGGUUCUCCGUGACGACAUGGAAUCCGUGUUUGGGUUCCAGACGUGGAGAAUGGACAGUCCCCUGAGCACACAUGAGGCGGCCUUUGCUAGUUGUUGCCGCACUGUCUUCCUUCCCUAGAGUCCCCUUCAGAUGAUGAUGGCUCCUCACUGUCCUUGUGUUCAGACUAAGAUUGUACCUCAUCCAAACCUGCUUCCUGUAUUGUGGUUUCAGUGAUGUCCCGGACUCUCAAGAGCAGAAACAACUUCAUCUGUUGUAAAUCUAGGAUGACAGUUUUCUCCAUCUUCCCCUCAGCCAGCUAAUAAUUGGCCCUAGGGCCAUGCCAUCAUUACUUCCUGGUGUCAUGAUGCCUGUGACACCAGAAAAUCAGUUCUGCGGGAGCAUUUGUGUAUAAUAUUAGGUGGAUCACCUUGGGGGGGUGUUUAUUUGUUGUUUUAGGGGUUUUGUUAAAUUGUUGUUUUAAUAAUAGUCUUUAUUCCUGCAAUAGUUGAAAUAAGUGUUCCUCCACUCAUUCAUCAGCCUGACCUUAGGAACUCCGUGUAUCUGUUACCAUGGCAGUGAGGAUUUUAGUCCCAUCCAAGGUCAUUGAAUCAGCAAAAACUAUCUGUUCUGUCCUGGUGUAUGGCAGAUUGUUUGCUCAUUUGACUUUAUUAUCAUGUGGCAAUAUCAUCCUAUCAGCCCCUUUCAUGGAAUAUAGACGUGUUAUUGCCCUAAACGGUGACUGUGUCCCCAUGCCCAUCAGUUAGUCCCAGAUAAAGAGAAACUCUGUGUGGACCUCCCUGCCUAAAGCCUUAGUGCCACUGCCUACGAGCCACGGCCAAGGCCAAGAACCCAGCCACUGGGUCUGUGGUCACUGAUCCUUCCCCAGACACAAAGAACAAACUUACCGUUUCUCCGUCAGGGAUCCCUCAAAGAGGAUCCUUUGGGUUUGGGAGGAGGGAUGUGAAAACUGCCAUUACAGACAACAGGCUGCAGAGAUGAAGACAACACUGCCAGUCAGACACCUGAUGGGUCCCUUAGAUGUUAGAAUUCUUGACCUGUGUGGUGUCUAGGAAAGGGGAGAGGUCUAGGAAAGGGGAGAGAUCUCCUGGGAUCUGAGUUAGAGGCUAAGGUUGUACGGGCACAUCCUUCAUUCCGUACACAGGUCCCAGUCCCUGUUGGACUUACUUUUAUUUGUAUGAAUUCUCCCUUUGACUCCUGCCUGCCUUUGAAGAUAUUUUUUUAAUUUGUUUUUUUUUUUGUUUUUGUUUUUGUUUUAAGCAUCGUUUUCUUAGGCGAUGGUGGGGGGGAUUGAAGGAAAGAAAGACUGUGUUAAAGAUUUUAAUGAAAGCCGACAGCACGAGUUGGUUAUAUCUUUUUGUUAAACUUGGCCACUUGAAGUCUUGUAUAGAAAAGAACCAAAGGUGUAACGUUCUGUUCGCAUGCGAUUUCAGGACCCGGACUCUAACCAGCACGUUGACUUCGAGGACUGUUUGGAAGGACACAUGUCCAUGUCCUGAGGCCCCACCCUUGUCUGUCAUGGUACUAUGGCAACGUCCUUGUGUACAUUUCCCUGAAAAGUGACUUUGUAUCUGUUUGUAUGAGAAACUCAGUAACCAGAAAAUGACUGCAUGUUCCUGACUAAAUGUAGAAAGGAGUAUGCACACUGUUUUUACUUUUUAAAGUUUCAUUCUAAAAGUAGUUUAAGAUGAAAUUUAUAUGAAAACAUUUUUAUCACAAAAUAAAAAGGGUUCCCUGUCAAAGCUCA